GACGAACGCUGGCGGCGUGCUUAACACAUGCCAGUCGAACGGAAAGGCCCUGCUUUUGUGGGGUGCUCGAGUGGCGAACGGGUGAGUAACACGUGAGUAACCUGCCCUUGACUUUGGGAUAACUUCAGGAAACUGGGGCUAAUACCGGAUAGGAGCUCCUGCUGCAUGGUGGGGGUUGGAAAGUUUCGGCGGUUGGGGAUGGACUCGCGGCUUAUCAGCUUGUUGGUGGGGUAGUGGCUUACCAAGGCUUUGACGGGUAGCCGGCCUGAGAGGGUGACCGGCCACAUUGGGACUGAGAUAGGGCCCAGACUCCUACGGGAGGCAGCAGUGGGGAAUAUUGCACAAUGGGCGGAAGCCUGAUGCAGCAACGCCGCGUGCGGGAUGACGGCCUUCGGGUUGUAAACCGCUUUCGCCUGUGACGAAGCGUGAGUGACGGUAAUGGGUAAAGAAGCACCGGCUAACUACGUG
RNAcentral lists this ribosomal RNA (468 nucleotides) under uncultured bacterium. RNAcentral describes it as "partial 16S ribosomal RNA". It matches the Rfam family "Bacterial small subunit ribosomal RNA", at positions 28 to 507 of the family's 1533-position model. The record is from RNAcentral.